GGCAGCACGAUGUAGCAAUACAUUGGUGGCGACCGGCGCACGGGUGAGUAACGCGCAUGCAACCUACCUAUCAGAGGGGAAUAACCCGGCGAAAGUCGGACUAAUACCGCAUAAAACAGGGGUUCCACAUGGAAAUAUUUGUUAAAGAAUUAUCGCUGAUAGAUGGGCAUGCGUUCCAUUAGAUAGUUGGUGAGGUAACGGCUCACCAAGUCCACGAUGGAUAGGGGUUCUGAGAGGAAGGUCCCCCACACUGGUACUGAGACACGGACCAGACUCCUACGGGAGGCAGCAGUGAGGAAUAUUGGUCAAUGGGCGAGAGCCUGAACCAGCCAAGUCGCGUGAAGGAUGAAGGAUCUAUGGUUUGUAAACUUCUUUUAUAUGGGAAUAAAGUGAGGAACGUGUUCCUUUUUGUAUGUACCAUAUGAAUAAGCAUCGGCUAACUCCGUGCCAGCAGCCGCGGUAAUACGGAGGAUGCGAGCGUUAUCCGGAUUUAUUGGGUUUAAAGGGUGCGUAGGUGGUUAAUUAAGUCAGCGGUGAAAGUUUGUGGCUCAACCAUAAAAUUGCCGUUGAAACUGGUUGACUUGAGUAUAUUUGAGGUAGGCGGAAUGCGUGGUGUAGCGGUGAAAUGCAUAGAUAUCACGCAGAACUCCGAUUGCGAAGGCAGCUUACUAAACUAUAACUGACACUGAAGCACGAAAGCGUGGGGAUCAAACAGGAUUAGAUACCCUGGUAGUCCACGCAGUAAACGAUGAUUACUAGCUGUUUGCGAUACACAGUAAGCGGCACAGC
RNAcentral lists this ribosomal RNA (789 nucleotides) under uncultured bacterium. RNAcentral's name for it is "bacterial SSU rRNA". It matches the Rfam family "Bacterial small subunit ribosomal RNA", at positions 66 to 852 of the family's 1533-position model. The record is from RNAcentral.